Molecule: transfer RNA, 76 nt
Filed under: Acidobacteriota bacterium
Lineage: Bacteria; Pseudomonadati; Acidobacteriota
Description: Acidobacteria bacterium tRNA-Ala
Rfam family: tRNA
About the family: Transfer RNA (tRNA) molecules are approximately 80 nucleotides in length. Their secondary structure includes four short double-helical elements and three loops (D, anti-codon, and T loops).
Source: RNAcentral
GGGGCCGUAGCUCAGCUGGGAGAGCGCAUGACUGGCAGUCAUGAGGUCAGGGGUUCGAUCCCCCUCGGCUCCAUCA